UUUGCUGGACGGGCAGUCGCGGCCAGGGCAGGUUCCCGGAUAGGGAAUACCACCCUUGGGCGAGGCAAAGUCCGGUCUCCACAGGGCAGCGUGCCGGCUAACGGCCGGGGGGGCGGGCUCAAAGCCCGCUUCACGGAAAGUGCCACAGAGAAUAUACCGCCCUCCGCAAGGGGGGUAAGGGUGAAAAGGUGCGGUAAGAGCGCACCGCGCUCCGGGCAACCGGAGUGGCAGGGUAAACCCCACGUGGAGCAAGACCAAAUAGGGGGGGAGGGGCGGCCCGCUCCGUUCGACCUCCGGGUAGGUUGCUUGAGCCUGUCAGCAAUGGCAGGCCUAGAUGAAUGACUGCCGCCCGGCCGAAAGGCCGGGUCCAGAAACCGGCUUACAGUCCGGCAGACUCC
Molecule: RNase P RNA, 398 nt
Filed under: Acidobacteriota bacterium
Lineage: Bacteria; Pseudomonadati; Acidobacteriota
Description: Acidobacteria bacterium (groundwater metagenome) RNase P RNA component class A
Rfam family: Bacterial RNase P class A
About the family: Ribonuclease P (RNase P) is a ubiquitous endoribonuclease, found in archaea, bacteria and eukarya as well as chloroplasts and mitochondria. Its best characterised activity is the generation of mature 5'-ends of tRNAs by cleaving the 5'-leader elements of precursor-tRNAs.
Source: RNAcentral